Molecule: ribosomal RNA, 465 nt
Filed under: uncultured bacterium
Lineage: Bacteria
Description: partial 16S ribosomal RNA
Rfam family: Bacterial small subunit ribosomal RNA
Source: RNAcentral
CCUACGGGAGGCAGCAGUGGGGAAUAUUGCGCAAUGGGCGAAAGCCUGACGCAGCGAAGCCGCGUGAGGGAUGAAGGUCCUCGGAGCGUAAACCUCCGUCAGCAGGGAAGAACGGUCGCUGUGCUAAUCAGCAGUGAAUUGACGGUACCUGCAAAGGAAGCACCGGCUAACUCCGUGCCAGCAGCCGCGGGAAUACGGAGGGUGCGAGCGUUAAUCCGAAUUACUGGGGGUAAAGCGCUCGUAGGCGGUAUGUCCAGUCAAGGGUGAAAGCCCCGGGCUCAACGUGGGAACUGCCUUUGAAACUGGUAAACUGGAGUGUGUGAGAGGAUAGUGGAAUGCCAGGUGUAGGAGUGAAAUCCGUAGAUAUCUGGAGGAACAUCAGUGGCGAAGGCGACUAUCUGGCACAUAACUGACGCUGAGGAGCGAAAGCGUGGGUAGCAAACAGGAUUAGAUACCCCUGUAGUC